RNAcentral lists this unclassified non-coding RNA (207 nucleotides) under Hevea brasiliensis (rubber tree). The record is from RNAcentral. Lineage: Eukaryota; Viridiplantae; Streptophyta; Magnoliopsida; Malpighiales; Euphorbiaceae.
AGAGAUCCCAAUUCUGUGCAGCUUAAAAUGGUCAAACUUUAAAGCUUGGAGAGAUGUUGCUGGUCAUCAGGAAAAGAAGCCGGAUUUGAACAGUACAUAAUGGUUAGGCGCUCUAGCACUGGUGUGUUGCAUAGCUAUUGGCAAAGAAGUGAACCCAUUACAAUUCUCCAUGGAGUUUAACAGAAGUGAGCUCAAUCCUUCAACGCA